AAGUGCUCAUUUUUUUAUAAUUGAACAAAAGCGAGUCUGAAUGGGUAUACUGAGUCGUGGAGCAUUCCGAGUAUUUGCUUUAGGGAUCGUUCCUGCGCAUCUCCUUACUUUAUAGCAGUUAUUGCUCCGGUUCCAGAAGGUAUAGCUCUCGCCUCAGCUUUUUCUUCGAAAUCGGAGACUGUUCCAAUUUCCUACUGAGAUAGGCAAGCGGAGGGAGAACUAGACGUAUCUUGCUAGGCAAAGACAGGUUAG
This 252-nucleotide long non-coding RNA is filed under the name Nicotiana benthamiana. RNAcentral describes it as "long non-coding RNA (NBEN_LNC025947)". Lineage: Eukaryota; Viridiplantae; Streptophyta; Magnoliopsida; Solanales; Solanaceae. The record is from RNAcentral.